ACUCCUACGGGAGGCAGCAGUGGGGAAUAUUGCACAAUGGGCGGAAGCCUGAUGCAGCAAUGCCGCGUGUGUGAAGAAGGCCUUCGGGUUGUAAAGCACUUUCAGUAGGGAGGAAAGGGUAAGCCCUAAUACGGCUUAUCUGUGACGUUACCUACAGAAGAAGGACCGGCUAACUCCGUGCCAGCAGCCGCGGUAAUACA
RNAcentral lists this ribosomal RNA (200 nucleotides) under uncultured bacterium. RNAcentral's name for it is "partial 16S ribosomal RNA". It matches the Rfam family "Bacterial small subunit ribosomal RNA", at positions 335 to 527 of the family's 1533-position model. The record is from RNAcentral.